UAUCUCUGUAGAGUCUGCAUAUCAAUAAGCGGAGGAAAAGAAACUAACAAGGAUUCCCUUAGUAACGGCGAGUGAAGCGGGAAGAGCUCAAAUUUGAAAUCUUCAAGGUUCUACCUUGACGAAUUGUAGUUUAUAGAAGUGUUUUCUGUUAGUAGGAGUGGCAAAAGUUCUUUGGAAUAGGACAUCAUAGAGGGUGAGAAUCCCGUAUUUGAUCAUUCUUUCUAGCUUUGUGAUACACUUUCAACGAGUCGGAUUGUUUGGGAAUGCAGUCCAAAAUGGGUGGUAAAUUUCAUCUAAAGCUAAAUAUUGGCGAGAGACCGAUAGCGAACAAGUACCGUGAGGGAAAGAUGAAAAGAACUUUGAAAAGAGAGUUAAACAGUACGUGAAAUUGUCAAAAGGGAAGCGUUUGACACCAGUGUUGUUUUUCCGAAAAUCAAUUACGAAUGUUUUGUUUUUGAGAAGUUAUGACUUCAUCGGCUUGCUUCUUUCUUUACGAAACUUUCUUAAUGCACUUUUCGGUUAACAAGUCAACACUCAAUUUCUUUUGUUGUAAAAGGGUACGAGGAAGGUGGCUUUCUUUUCGGAGAAAGUGUUUAUAGCCUUGUGCCUCUGCAAUCGGAGAGAUUGAGGUCUGCAGCGUAGAUCCUUCGGGGUUAGAUACGUUUGUGCUAAGUUAUAGCUUUUCAUAGACAACUUGUUGACUAUGUUUAGUCUUGUAGCUUACUCGCUUAUGCUAUUUUACCUACGCUUAGGAUGUUGACGCAUGAGAUAUACGC
RNAcentral lists this ribosomal RNA (776 nucleotides) under uncultured Neocallimastigales. RNAcentral's name for it is "partial large subunit ribosomal RNA". It matches the Rfam family "Eukaryotic large subunit ribosomal RNA", at positions 24 to 629 of the family's 3401-position model. The record is from RNAcentral. Lineage: Eukaryota; Fungi; Neocallimastigomycota; Neocallimastigomycetes; Neocallimastigales.